UGCAGGCUAACCAUGCAUGUCGAACGGAUCCUUCGGGAUUAGUGGCGGACGGGUGAGUAACACGUGGGAACGUGCCCUUUGGUUCGGAACAACUCAGGGAAACUUGAGCUAAUACCGGAUGUGCCCUUCGGGGGAAAGAUUUAUCGCCAUUGGAGCGGCCCGCGUCUGAUUAGCUAGUUGGUGGGGUAAAGGCCCACCAAGGCGACGAUCAGUAGCUGGUCUGAGAGGAUGAUCAGCCACAUUGGGACUGAGACACGGCCCAAACUCCUACGGGAGGCAGCAGUGGGGAAUCUUGCGCAAUGGGCGAAAGCCUGACGCAGCCAUGCCGCGUGAAUGAUGAAGGUCUUAGGAUUGUCAAAUUCUUUCACCGGGGACGAUAAUGACGGUACCCGGAGAAGAAGCCCCGGCUAACUUCGUGCCAGCAGCCGCGGUAAUACGAAGGGGGCUAGCGUUGCUCGGAAUUACUGGGCG
This 471-nucleotide ribosomal RNA is filed under the name uncultured Caulobacter sp. Its description in RNAcentral is "bacterial SSU rRNA". It matches the Rfam family "Bacterial small subunit ribosomal RNA", at positions 41 to 560 of the family's 1533-position model. The record is from RNAcentral. Lineage: Bacteria; Pseudomonadati; Pseudomonadota; Alphaproteobacteria; Caulobacterales; Caulobacteraceae.